Serinus canaria (Common canary) is the source of this 594-nucleotide long non-coding RNA. RefSeq lists it as uncharacterized. The transcript has 2 exons. Lineage: Eukaryota; Metazoa; Chordata; Aves; Passeriformes; Fringillidae. The record is from RefSeq and is a predicted model, not a curated record.
CUUUUCCCCGGCUUUCGCAGCGCUGGGAAAGGGGGGGACGCGCUCCGGGAGCGCGGUCUCUCCAUCCGCGCCCCCCCGCGCAGCGAUGUCCCGCGGGGGGCGCGGGCGGUGCCGAAGGUGCAGCCGGCACCGAGGGAACAAAGGCGGCGGCGGCGGGGAACAAAGAGCGGCAGAUCUGCCUAAAGAAAUUCUGCAAGAUUUGGAGCUCUGAUUUUCUGCAAGGAAAGUUUUCUUUUCCAGGCAAAAGUGAAUCCUGCACCUUUUCAGUGUCAUUUCAGCUGGAGCCUGAGAAUGCACUGACUUGCAGAAGCAACAAUCAAAGCUGCCUACCACUUGACUGCCCUGCCUUGGCAAACACCUGGUCCAAUUCAUGCUUUGUUGCCAUCCUGGCAACAAACCAACCCAUGAUGGUUCUUUGUGUACUUUUUUUACUUGUUUUAUUGAGGAUUAAUUAGUGUUUGUAUAGUGACACAGCUAUCUGGUAGUCCAUGGACACAGCUGAAGGCAAAGGCCUUUGGGCUAUGCUGUGGUUUCCUAAUUCCUGUGUUAUGGCUACUGUAAUGCAUAUCCUCAAAGUGAAACAUUCUAGACUGA